AGUGAACGCUGGCGGUAGGCCUAACACGUGCAAGUCGAACGGCAGCACAGUAAGAGCUUGCUCUUACGGGUGGCGAGUGGCGGACGGGUGAGGAAUACAUCGGAAUCUACUUUUUCGUGGGGGAUAACGUAGGGAAACUUACGCUAAUACCGCAUACGACCUACGGGUGAAAGCAGGGGAUCUUCGGGCCUUGCGCGAUUGAAUGAGCCGAUGUCGGAUUAGCUAGUUGGCGGGGUAAAGGCCCACCAAGGCGACGAUCCGUAGCUGGUCUGAGAGGAUGGUCAGCCACACUGGAACUGAGACACGGUCCAGACUCCUACGGGAGGCAGCAGUGGGGAAUAUUGGACAAUGGGCGCAAGCCUUAUCCAGCCAUACCGCGUGGGUGAAGAAGGCCUUCGGGUUGUAAAGCCCUUUUGUUGGGAAAGAAAAGCAGCAGGUUAAUACCCCGCUGUUCUGACGGUACCCAAAGAAUAAGCACCGGCUAACUUCGUG
RNAcentral lists this ribosomal RNA (492 nucleotides) under uncultured bacterium. Its description in RNAcentral is "partial 16S ribosomal RNA". It matches the Rfam family "Bacterial small subunit ribosomal RNA", at positions 29 to 507 of the family's 1533-position model. The record is from RNAcentral.